GGGGGCAUAGCUCAGUUGGGAGAGCGCUUGAAUGGCAUUCAAGAGGUCAUGGGUUCAAGUCCCACUGUCUCCA
RNAcentral lists this transfer RNA (73 nucleotides) under Catenibacillus scindens. Its description in RNAcentral is "intestinal bacterium CG19-1 tRNA". It matches the Rfam family "tRNA". From Rfam's summary of the family: Transfer RNA (tRNA) molecules are approximately 80 nucleotides in length. Their secondary structure includes four short double-helical elements and three loops (D, anti-codon, and T loops). RNAcentral also lists the same sequence under 5 other names. The record is from Rfam by way of RNAcentral. Lineage: Bacteria; Bacillati; Bacillota; Clostridia; Lachnospirales; Lachnospiraceae.